ACUGUGUAUUGGUAAUAUUUUAUUGCAUCAGAUCAAUUACUUUAUAACAAAAACAGGAAAUUUUGACAAACAUAUGACACACUAAGUACAAUUGAUCUGAAGACAAUCAAAGGGUACCACAGUUUAUUCAGAUCAUUUGUACAUAAGUCUUUACAUAGACAAUGGCUGUUUUCAGUGUUGGGUUUCAGUCUGUAAAUGAAGAUUGAGUCUUGUCUUUAUAAAACAGGAAAGAAAAGAAACAGUUUCAAGCCUCCCCCAUAAUAUUCUGAAAAUGACAACUCAAAUAACCUUGUAAAAUUCCUUGUUGUCAAAUUUUAAAUAUCUUAAAUAAACAUUACAACUUCUGAAAGAAAACAAUACUGCUUGCAUGUUAUUGUAUUUUUCGUUACAAUUCAUUUUAUCAGAG
Molecule: long non-coding RNA, 406 nt
Filed under: Mytilus galloprovincialis (Mediterranean mussel)
Lineage: Eukaryota; Metazoa; Mollusca; Bivalvia; Mytilida; Mytilidae
Source: RNAcentral